This 951-nucleotide non-coding RNA is filed under the name Nomascus leucogenys (northern white-cheeked gibbon). The record is from Rfam by way of RNAcentral. Lineage: Eukaryota; Metazoa; Chordata; Mammalia; Primates; Hylobatidae.
GAACAGAUAGGUUGGGUCGUGCCCUUUUUAUUAGCUCUUAGUAAGAUUACACAAGCAAGCUUCCCUGCCACAGUGAAAAUCCCCUCUAGAUCACCAGAUCAAAAGGAGCAGGUAUCAAGCAUGCACGAAUGCAGCUCAAAACACUUUGCUUAACCACACCGCCCCCGGAAACAGCAGUGAUAAAUCUUUAGUAAUAAAUGAAAGUUUGGCUAAGCUACACUAAUGUUAAGGGUUGGUUAAUUUUGUGCCAGCCACCGCAGUCAUACGAUUAACCCGAGCUAACAGGACUCGGCAUAAAGAGUGUUUAAGGUCUACCCUCAAUAAAGCUAAACCCCGUCUAAGUUGUAAAAAACUCCAGCUGAAAUAAAAUAUACUAUGAAAGUGGCUCUAAUAUCCUGAAGACACAAUAGCUAAGAUGCAAACAUUAGUUACCCCACUAUGCCUAGCCCUAAACUCUACAUUAACAAAAACAUUCGCCAGAGUACUACAACAGCUUAAAAUUCAAAGAACUUGGCGGUACUUUAUAUCCCUCUAGAGGAGCCUGUUCUAUAAUUGAUAAACCCCAAUACACCUCACCACCUGUUGCCCCUAGCCUUAUACCGCUAUCUUCAGCAAACCCUUGAAAGGCUAUAAAGUAAGCACACGUAUGCACAUAAAAAUGUUAGGUCACAGUGUAGCCCAUAAGAUGGCAAAGAAAUGGGCUACAUUUUCUAUGUCCCGAAAAAUCUCAUGACUGAAGCUCCAAUGUGGUGGAAUUCGGGAGGAUUUAGCCAUAAACCAAGAGCAGAGCACUUGGUUAAAUAAGGCACUGAAGUACGCACACACCGCCCAUCACCCUCCUCAAAUAUUACUCUAGAAAUCACUAUUACUAAUAACUUUCUACAUGCAUACAGAAGAGAUAAGUUGUAACAUGGUAAGUGUACUGGAAAGUGCGCUUGGACAAACCAAAAU